This 379-nucleotide ribosomal RNA is filed under the name uncultured eukaryote. RNAcentral describes it as "SSU rRNA". It matches the Rfam family "Eukaryotic small subunit ribosomal RNA", at positions 587 to 972 of the family's 1831-position model. The record is from RNAcentral.
AGCUCCAAUAGCGUAUAUUAAAGUUAUUGUAGUUAAAAAGCGCGUAGUUUGAUUUCUGGUGGGAAGUAUCGGUCUAGAGCACUCAGUGUUGGAACUUGUAUCCUCUCCGACCAUCCUUGGAUAGAUCUUGUCUAACAUUGAGUUGUCAGUCAGGGGAUGCGUAUUGUCUACUGUAAAAAAUUAGAGUGUUCAAAGCAGGCUUAUACCAUUGAAUAUAUUCGCAUGGAAUAAUAAGAUAUGGCCCUUGUACUAUUUUUUUGGUUUGCGUACCGAGGUAAUGAUUAAUAGGGGCAGUUGAGGGUAUUCAGUAUUCAGUGGUGAAAUACUUCAACCUACGGAAGACAAAUUACUACAAAAGCAUUUACCAAGGAUACUUUCA